AUAUUAAGCAAAAUAGCAAAUCUUCCUCCAUAAGAAGAACCAAUAUAAUACUAGAAAAGUAGAAAAGUGAGCCUUCUGGUUGUUCUGCAAUGAAGCGUUUUUGAUCCAUUUAUUGAUUUAGAAGAGUAAAUUACAAACUAUAAUUCAGAACAAUUAAAUUGAAGUCUUUGUUGAGUCCAAUGAAGUUUAUGAACCAAGUAUAGUCGGUGAUUACAGGGAACUUUUAGUAUCGGAAGAGGAAAAUUACAAAACAUUUUUAUCUGGAUCAGAAAAUAUGGAUAUUGAAGAUGAAUUUGAACAUCAAAAGAGAACAAUGUCUAGAUUUGUAAGAAAAGAGAGAAAAUUAAAUUUACAUAAAAAUUACUAUUUGUUAGCUCUUGUGGUACGUCUAUAGCUGGAAGACAAAUUCAGCCAUUGAAAAAAUGUUUAAAAAUCUAUCAAAUAUUUUUAACAAAUGAUGUAAGAAAUAAAAUUAUUAGACAAUAUUGGGGUUUAGAUCCCCAUUAUAGAAGACUA
Long non-coding RNA from Rhopalosiphum maidis (corn leaf aphid), 516 nucleotides. RefSeq lists it as uncharacterized. The transcript is spliced from 3 exons. NCBI's taxonomy places the organism in Eukaryota, Metazoa, Arthropoda, Insecta, Hemiptera, Aphididae. The record is from RefSeq and is a predicted model, not a curated record.